Molecule: ribosomal RNA, 508 nt
Filed under: uncultured bacterium
Lineage: Bacteria
Description: partial 16S ribosomal RNA
Rfam family: Bacterial small subunit ribosomal RNA
Source: RNAcentral
GACGAACGCUGGCGGCGUGCCUAAUACAUGCAAGUCGAACGCUUCUUUCCUCCCGAGUGCUUGCACUCAAUUGGAAAGAGGAGUGGCGGACGGGUGAGUAACACGUGGGUAACCUACCCAUCAGAGGGGGAUAACACUUGGAAACAGGUGCUAAUACCGCAUAACAGUUUAUGCCGCAUGGCAUAAGAGUGAAAGGCGCUUUCGGGUGUCGCUGAUGGAUGGACCCGCGGUGCAUUAGCUAGUUGGUGAGGUAACGGCUCACCAAGGCCACGAUGCAUAGCCGACCUGAGAGGGUGAUCGGCCACACUGGGACUGAGACACGGCCCAGACUCCUACGGGAGGCAGCAGUAGGGAAUCUUCGGCAAUGGACGAAAGUCUGACCGAGCAACGCCGCGUGAGUGAAGAAGGUUUUCGGAUCGUAAAACUCUGUUGUUAGAGAAGAACAAGGACGUUAGUAACUGGACGUCCCCUGACGGUAUCUAACCAGAAAGCCACGGCUAACUACGUG